Non-coding RNA from Mesocricetus auratus (golden hamster), 346 nucleotides. Lineage: Eukaryota; Metazoa; Chordata; Mammalia; Rodentia; Cricetidae. The record is from Rfam.
AGACAUGAGGGCUAUCUAGGUGUGAUGUCUGCCAUCCCAACCUAUGGAUUGCCAGGACUGAUUCAGCUGACCUGACUGGCUAGGCUGAUGUUUUCUUCCUUCCUCACUGCCUCAUAGAUAUCCCUCCUAAGGAUUCAUGCUGGGUCAGAGAGGACAACUUUCCCAGGCAGAAGGGAACCAUGCUUUGGUCAAGAUGAGUAAGUAGCUGAAGCCUACUAAAACCUCCUAAGAAAAUCUCAACUAAGUUAAGGCAACAAAAAAUGUGUUUCUAGCCUUUAAGAAUCUCGGAGGGUGAGCAUGGUCAUUUAUAUCUACAAAGUGCUUUAGCCAUAAAAUGUCUUAGUGC